AGAGACUCCAGAAGCUCAUCCUUGCCAUCGAUGGUUCACCUGAUCCCGAAAUUGAACUUGAUAAAGCUAUGGAAGAUGAAGCAUUUCGCAUUUUCAGCAGCAAGAUAUCAUCUAUCAUUGGCUCGAAGCCCCAAUGAUCACAGAUGGAGGAGGGAAAAAGUUUGUCCAAGACAUGUAUAUGCAUAAUCAAUGGAGCAUAAGUGAUCAGCUCAGCAGAUGCUGAUUUCAGCAAUCAACGACGCAUCUCGGAUUGUAGAUUAGCUUUGGGACGCCAUCCAAGCACUCAGCUGCAAUGUUUGAUGGCGAUAAAUGUGCUAAGUCUUGAGAUGACAUAUGAUUUUCUUGUCUUUU
RNAcentral lists this unclassified non-coding RNA (351 nucleotides) under Hevea brasiliensis (rubber tree). Lineage: Eukaryota; Viridiplantae; Streptophyta; Magnoliopsida; Malpighiales; Euphorbiaceae. The record is from RNAcentral.